This 122-nucleotide small nuclear RNA is filed under the name Mus pahari (shrew mouse). RNAcentral describes it as "snRNA (MGP_PahariEiJ_G0033274.1)". Lineage: Eukaryota; Metazoa; Chordata; Mammalia; Rodentia; Muridae. The record is from RNAcentral.
GUUUGGAAUGUUACAAGAAGAAGUUAGUAGGCCCUGAUCAAGAUACAAGGAGUCCUUGGGCCUGACAACACACACAGUUAAGGAGUUGCCACCUGUUCGGUGCCAUACCAUAGUAAGUUUUU